UACGUAGGGCGCAAGCGUUGUCCGGAAUUAUUGGGCGUAAAGAGCUCGUAGGCGGCUUGUCACGUCGGAUGUGAAAGCCCGGGGCUUAACCCCGGGUCUGCAUUCGAUACGGGCUGGCUAGAGUGUGGUAGGGGAGAUCGGAAUUCCUGGUGUAGCGGUGAAAUGCGCAGAUAUCAGGAGGAACACCGGUGGCGAAGGCGGAUCUCUGGGCCAUUACUGACGCUGAGGAGCGAAAGCGUGGGGAGCGAACAGG
RNAcentral lists this ribosomal RNA (253 nucleotides) under uncultured bacterium. RNAcentral describes it as "partial 16S ribosomal RNA". It matches the Rfam family "Bacterial small subunit ribosomal RNA", at positions 524 to 776 of the family's 1533-position model. The record is from RNAcentral.